Molecule: ribosomal RNA, 253 nt
Filed under: uncultured bacterium
Lineage: Bacteria
Description: partial 16S ribosomal RNA
Rfam family: Bacterial small subunit ribosomal RNA
Source: RNAcentral
UACGGAGGGUGCGAGCGUUGUCCGGAAUCAUUGGGCGUAAAGGGCGCGUAGGUGGCACGACAAGCGUGCGGUGAAAGCUUGGGGCUCAACCCCGAGUCGGCCGUGCGAACUGUUGAGCUGGAGCACUGUAGAGGCAGGCGGAAUUCCGGGUGUAGCGGUGGAAUGCGUAGAGAUCCGGAAGAACACCGGUGGCGAAGGCGGCCUGCUGGGCAGUUGCUGACACUGAGGCGCGACAGCGUGGGGAGCAAACAGG